AACGAACGCUGGCGGCAGGCUUAACACAUGCAAGUCGAACGGGUGCAGCAAUGCAUCAGUGGCAGACGGGUGAGUAACACGUGGGAACCUUCCUCGGGGUACGGAACAACGCAGGGAAACUUGCGCUAAUACCGUAUACGUCCGUGAGGAGAAAGAUUUAUCGCCCUGAGACGGGCCCGCGUCGGAUUAGCUAGUUGGUGGGGUAACGGCCUACCAAGGCGACGAUCCGUAGCUGAUCUUAGAGGAUGAUCAGCCACACUGGGACUGAGACACGGCCCAGACUCCUACGGGAGGCAGCAGUGGGGAAUCUUGGACAAUGGGCGCAAGCCUGAUCCAGCCAUGCCGCGUGAGUGAAGAAGGUCUUCGGAUUGUAAAGCUCUUUUGCCAGGGACGAUAAUGACGGUACCAAGUGAAUAAGCACCGGCUAACUCCGUGCCAGCCGCCGCCGUAA
RNAcentral lists this ribosomal RNA (451 nucleotides) under uncultured bacterium. Its description in RNAcentral is "partial 16S ribosomal RNA". It matches the Rfam family "Bacterial small subunit ribosomal RNA", at positions 29 to 523 of the family's 1533-position model. The record is from RNAcentral.